AGUGAACGCUGGCGGUAGGGCUAACGCAUGCAAGUCGAACGGCAGCACAGUAAGAGCUUGCUCUUACGGGUGGCGAGUGGCGGACGGGUGAGGAAUACAUCGGAAUCUACUUUUUCGUGGGGGAUAACGUAGGGAAACUUACGCUAAUACCGCAUACGACCUACGGGUGAAAGCAGGGGAUCUUCGGACCUUGCGCGAUUGAAUGAGCCGAUGUCGGAUUAGCUAGUUGGCGGGGUAAAGGCCCACCAAGGCGACGAUCCGUAGCUGGUCUGAGAGGAUGAUCAGCCACACUGGAACUGAGACACGGUCCAGACUCCUACGGGAGGCAGCAGUGGGGAAUAUUGGACAAUGGGCGCAAGCCUGAUCCAGCCAUACCGCGUGGGUGAAGAAGGCCUUCGGGUUGUAAAGCCCUUUUGUUGGGAAAGAAAAGCAGCAGGUUAAUACCCCGCUGUUCUGACGGUACCCAAAGAAUAAGCACCGGCUAACUUCGUG
Molecule: ribosomal RNA, 492 nt
Filed under: uncultured bacterium
Lineage: Bacteria
Description: partial 16S ribosomal RNA
Rfam family: Bacterial small subunit ribosomal RNA
Source: RNAcentral